Molecule: long non-coding RNA, 1825 nt
Organism: Cygnus olor (mute swan)
Lineage: Eukaryota; Metazoa; Chordata; Aves; Anseriformes; Anatidae
Exons: 4
Source: RefSeq, a predicted model, not a curated record
AUACUGAAUCGAAAGAGCAUCUCUUUCUAAUAACAGCUUCAUUCUGCACUGACUUACAAGCAGUCACAGUGUAAUCUAAACCAGUAGAAACAAAGUGUGAGUUCAGGAAGUCCAAGCCACAGGGAAGGAGAUUCUGCAGCAGAGAUGCAGCUACCCGAGUGUGAUUAAUGGGAGUGCAGAGCCCAAAUCCCGUAGGAGGGCCCAGCUGCCAGGUACAUUCAGAGCAAGCAGAUGGGACCAGUCCUCACACAAAAAGCAGCCAGAAGUGAGACCUUCCACCCAGCCGGAAUACAGUCCAGAGGUGGUGUGACUGAAGGGACGAACACAGCACUGACAUGGGAGCUCCUACAAGAAGAUGCAAAAGUACCACAAAUGGGUUUUACAGAAGACACUCGGCUGGGGUCAGACUGCAUCAUACCAGAUCCUGCCAAAAGAUGCAAAAUUAGCACUGCGAUGGAUAUACUUGUGCAACCUCCGGGGAAAGACAAUUAGGGAAUAAGGAAUAAGAGGAAAGAGGGAGUUCUCACUGCCCAAAUGACCAAAAGACUAAAUCUUCUUUAUAUCCAUCUCCUGCCCUGUGAGUUUUUGAUUCUGCAAAACCUUUGCACUGAGAAACCGCACGUCAGCCUCAAAAGAAGUGAUGAUGGCUUGCACGUAGCAAGUUUUGAGGUUGAUUAGCAAUUGCCCAGUAACAUUCAUGGAUGUGAUGAGCACUCAGAAGAAAACCACCAGAUUUCUCUCUUUCUUUCUUCUUUAAGCAGCAUGUAACUUGUGUGUUCCUAUGGAGCCACUGAAAGGCUCAGGCUAGAGUUAGGACAGCUCUCCAAAUUCAGUUGGAGGCCAUCUGUUACCAAGAAGCAAGUUUUAAUGUUUCUCUCCUUUUUACAUUCUACCUGUGCCGGUUUGCAUUAGACUUAAAUCUCUACUGAAUCCAUGACAGGUGUAGCAAACAACUGUAAAUAAUACCAGACAUCUUAGCACUCUCACUGGAGAUGGAGAGAUAGGGGAAGCAAAGGCCAAUCAGACAGACAUACCUGGAAGUACAGCGUUAUCAAUCCUGCCUCCAGCUUAGGGCUGGUCUGGGGCUGGCUCAGUUCCUCAUUCCAAUCCAUGUGGAAAUUGAAUAUACAUUUCCCAUCUGCUCUUUUUGAAGCAGUAGCGUUACUUUGACAGUGCUUUGAACUGUCUCCCAAAUUGCAUGAAAAAUUCCACAGUGCAUUCUGUUUAAUCACACUCAGAUUUUUGGGAAAUAGUUCUGAUUAGUUCCAAUAUUAUUAGAAAUGGUACAGCUAUGCUUUUACACAUAGGGUAUAUAAAUUUUCCAGAUGCGUAGACUUUUAUAAAGUGACCAACUUCAGCAUUGAUGAGAAAGGCAAGAGAACAGGGAAGAAUGUUUAUGAAGAUUUUAACCUGUAGAAAAAUAAAGACGUCUGUGAGCUGCUCAGUUUCCAGCACAGAUGGGAGACAGACUUACAGGACAUAGUUCCAGAAAGUUUUAGCACUAGCUGAAAGGCUACAAGGACUCUGACUUACUCACACUGUAGCUAAUGGAAAUUAGAGGCAUGGGACACAGCAUCGGUCACGUUUUAGGAAGAACAAGCCUAAACUACAAUUUUUCUAAAGACUUCAGAUUCUCCUGAAAGUAUUUGUGUAAUGUCUGGCUAGCCAAGUAGUUUCAGAUGUUAAUUGAAUUCAGCAGCUCUAUUAAUGCAAUCAGAAAGUAAAGUAGUACAGAUGCAAAGGUUCAAAUAUGUGUUAUGAUCUCAGCAAACCAGAGGACUCAAGUUAUUGAAUAUGAAAUAAAUAAAGUUAUGUUUGCCUCUAC